Molecule: ribosomal RNA, 228 nt
Filed under: Triticum aestivum (bread wheat)
Lineage: Eukaryota; Viridiplantae; Streptophyta; Magnoliopsida; Poales; Poaceae
Description: partial small subunit ribosomal RNA
Source: RNAcentral
AUGGUUUUGGUUCUCAUGGCCAUGUCGAGCUCAUGGACCCGGGCGGCAGCGAGGCCAUUGUUAUACGCCGAGGAACCCUCCCCUGGCUGUUCCGUCCGCAUUUUGCUGCCUUCACGGCCGUCGCAAUGGCGAGGGCGUGUGCUUCUGUCGCUCGAGGAGAAGAAGACGGGGCCAGGCAAAUCGUGUGGACCCAGAAGCACCAAUAACCCUAACAAUCAUUGCCCAUAG